Molecule: ribosomal RNA, 253 nt
Filed under: uncultured bacterium
Lineage: Bacteria
Description: partial 16S ribosomal RNA
Rfam family: Bacterial small subunit ribosomal RNA
Source: RNAcentral
UACGGAGGGUGCAAGCGUUGUCCGGAUUUAUUGGGUUUAAAGGGUGCGUAGGCGGCCCUGCAAGUCCGUGGUGAAAGCCUGCUGCUUAACAGCAGAACUGCCAUGGAUACUACAGGGCCUGAGUCCAGACGAGGUUGGCGGAAUAGAAGGUGUAGCGGUGAAAUGCAUAGAUACCUUCUAGAACCCCGAUUGCGUAGGCAGCUGACUAGGCUGGUACUGACGCUGAGGCACGAAAGCGUGGGGAGCAAACAGG